Molecule: ribosomal RNA, 1435 nt
Filed under: Lactiplantibacillus plantarum
Lineage: Bacteria; Bacillati; Bacillota; Bacilli; Lactobacillales; Lactobacillaceae
Description: bacterial SSU rRNA
Rfam family: Bacterial small subunit ribosomal RNA
Source: RNAcentral
UGCAAGUCGAACGAACUCUGGUAUUGAUUGGUGCUUGCAUCAUGAUUUACAUUUGAGUGAGUGGCGAACUCGGUGAGUAACACGUGGGAAACCUGCCCAGAAGCGGGGGAUAACACCUGGAAACAGAUGCUAAUACCGCAUAACAACUUGGACCGCAUGGUCCGAGUUUGAAAGAUGGCUUCGGCUAUCACUUUUGGAUGGUCCCGCGGCGUAUUAGCUAGAUGGUGGGGUAACGGCUCACCAUGGCAAUGAUACGUAGCCGACCUGAGAGGGUAAUCGGCCACAUUGGGACUGAGACACGGCCCAAACUCCUACGGGAGGCAGCAGUAGGGAAUCUUCCACAAUGGACGAAAGUCUGAUGGAGCAACGCCGCGUGAGUGAAGAAGGGUUUCGGCUCGUAAAACUCUGUUGUUAAAGAAGAACAUAUCUGAGAGUAACUGUUCAGGUAUUGACGGUAUUUAACCAGAAAGCCACGGCUAACUACGUGCCAGCAGCCGCGGUAAUACGUAGGUGGCAAGCGUUGUCCGGAUUUAUUGGGCGUAAAGCGAGCGCAGGCGGUUUUUUAAGUCUGAUGUGAAAGCCUUCGGCUCAACCGAAGAAGUGCAUCGGAAACUGGGAAACUUGAGUGCAGAAGAGGACAGUGGAACUCCAUGUGUAGCGGUGAAAUGCGUAGAUAUAUGGAAGAACACCAGUGGCGAAGGCGGCUGUCUGGUCUGUAACUGACGCUGAGGCUCGAAAGUAUGGGUAGCAAACAGGAUUAGAUACCCUGGUAGUCCAUACCGUAAACGAUGAAUGCUAAGUGUUGGAGGGUUUCCGCCCUUCAGUGCUGCAGCUAACGCAUUAAGCAUUCCGCCUGGGGAGUACGGCCGCAAGGCUGAAACUCAAAGGAAUUGACGGGGGCCCGCACAAGCGGUGGAGCAUGUGGUUUAAUUCGAAGCUACGCGAAGAACCUUACCAGGUCUUGACAUACUAUGCAAAUCUAAGAGAUUAGACGUUCCCUUCGGGGACAUGGAUACAGGUGGUGCAUGGUUGUCGUCAGCUCGUGUCGUGAGAUGUUGGGUUAAGUCCCGCAACGAGCGCAACCCUUAUUAUCAGUUGCCAGCAUUAAGUUGGGCACUCUGGUGAGACUGCCGGUGACAAACCGGAGGAAGGUGGGGAUGACGUCAAAUCAUCAUGCCCCUUAUGACCUGGGCUACACACGUGCUACAAUGGAUGGUACAACGAGUUGCGAACUCGCGAGAGUAAGCUAAUCUCUUAAAGCCAUUCUCAGUUCGGAUUGUAGGCUGCAACUCGCCUACAUGAAGUCGGAAUCGCUAGUAAUCGCGGAUCAGCAUGCCGCGGUGAAUACGUUCCCGGGCCUUGUACACACCGCCCGUCACACCAUGAGAGUUUGUAACACCCAAAGUCGGUGGGGUAACCUUUUAGGAACCAGCCG